This 714-nucleotide ribosomal RNA is filed under the name uncultured bacterium. RNAcentral's name for it is "bacterial SSU rRNA". It matches the Rfam family "Bacterial small subunit ribosomal RNA", at positions 59 to 787 of the family's 1533-position model. The record is from RNAcentral.
CAGUCGACGGUUAAGCUCUUCGGAUGUGUAUAAAGUGGCGAACGGCUGAGUAACACGUGGGCAACCUGCCCUUUGCACUGGGAUAGCCUCGGGAAACCGAGGUUAAUACCGGAUACUCCAUAUUUGUCGCAUGGCGAAUAUGGGAAAGCUCCGGCGGCAAAGGAUGGGCCCGCGGCCUGUUAGCUAGUUGGUAGGGUAGUGGCCUACCAAGGCAAUGAUGGGUAGCCGGGUUGAGAGACCGACCGGCCAGAUUGGGACUGAGACACGGCCCAGACUCCUACGGGAGGCAGCAGUGGGGAAUCUUGCACAAUGGGCGAAAGCCUGAUGCAGCGACGCCGCGUGCGGGAUGAAGGCCUUCGGGUUGUAAACCGCUUUCAGCAGGGACGAGGCCGCAAGGUGACGGUACCUGCAGAAGAAGCCCCGGCUAACUACGUGCCAGCAGCCGCGGUAAUACGUAGGGGGCAAGCGUUAUCCGGAUUCAUUGGGCGUAAAGCGCGCGUAGGCGGUCUGUUAGGUCAGGAGUUAAAUCUGGGGGCUCAACCCCUAUCCGCUCCUGAUACCGGCAGGCUUGAGUCUGGUAGGGGAAGAUGGAAUUCCAAGUGUAGCGGUGAAAUGCGCAGAUAUUUGGAAGAACACCGGUGGCGAAGGCGGUCUUCUGGGCCAUGACUGACGCUGAGGCGCGAAAGCUAGGGGAGCGAACAGGAUUAGAUACCC